GCGGACGUGGCGGAACUGGCAGACGCGCUAGUUUCAGGUACUAGUGGUCUUACGAUCGUGGAGGUUCAAGUCCUCUCGUCCGCACCA
RNAcentral lists this transfer RNA (87 nucleotides) under Peptococcaceae bacterium. Its description in RNAcentral is "tRNA-Leu". It matches the Rfam family "tRNA". From Rfam's summary of the family: Transfer RNA (tRNA) molecules are approximately 80 nucleotides in length. Their secondary structure includes four short double-helical elements and three loops (D, anti-codon, and T loops). Further hydrogen bonds mediate the characteristic L-shaped molecular structure. tRNAs have two regions of fundamental functional importance: the anti-codon, which is responsible for specific mRNA codon recognition, and the 3' end, to which the tRNAs corresponding amino acid is attached (by aminoacyl-tRNA synthetases). tRNAs cope with the degeneracy of the genetic code in two manners: having more than one tRNA (with a specific anti-codon) for a particular amino acid; and 'wobble' base-pairing, i.e. permitting non-standard base-pairing at the 3rd anti-codon position. The record is from RNAcentral. Lineage: Bacteria; Bacillati; Bacillota; Clostridia; Eubacteriales; Peptococcaceae.